UGAGCCUCAUUGUCAUCUGCCUGUCUCCACGAUAAUUCUACGUGUUCUUUUCCUGUUGCAACGAUAUUUCUUUUCCAUCGCUUCACCUGAAUACUUUUUGAUCCGCUUUUAAUCCUAUAUCCUUUGCUCGAUAUCUCCACCUCUUACUUCCUCCGUCACUUUCUCUCUUCAAUCACUAUGAAUGUUGGCAACCACCAUACGAGUGUCACCAUACGAGUUUCGUCUACACGUCUUUUCUCUUAGCCACAAAUACGCGAUGUUCGCUGACCGAUGUUGCCUAACAAAAUCCCUGAAGUUAUUUCCAUCUUGUGCAUGUCCAUCUCCACUUUUAGCUAAAAAAAUUCUAUUUUCUGUAUUUUCUGUUACCUUCUCAAUUUUCUCCAAACCCAACACGUUUCUUAUAAUUAAAAAUUGUUAUGGGUUCAUUUUGCGAAUCAGGUUUCAAUUUGGGUUUACUUGGUAUACAAAAUAUAUUUUAGUAAUUGCAAAUGAUUUUCGAUUUUUGCAUUGAGCUGGAGAUAUAAAAUUCUAUUUUUUCUUACUAGGCAUGAUUACAUAAUCUAUUUGCUAAUAAGGUUGAGAUGUGGCUCGAUUUUACAACUGCAAGCAUGGCAAUGGUUCAUAAGUUUGUUUUAGAUGAUGUGUACACCAACUUAAGAAUAUAAGGUUAUUUUUUAUUGUAUCCAAAUCCGAUUUGAUUCUGGAAAUCGAAAAGUAAAUUGCCACCAUAAACAAAAAGGAUAUAUUAAGAAAUGGGUUAAGUUGACACUCUCUCUACGUUAGAAUAUGUGGUAUUUAUUAACCUCACCUUACCCUAUUCCUAUACGGACACUACAAGAAAAUUCAUAAAUUGCUACGGAAAGUUACUAUGAAAUAAAAACCCGUUGCUAUUUUACUACGGAAUACGCUACGAAACGACUUGUCGUAGCUAUUUUGCUAUAUAAAUGGUUACGAAAUUGCAUUUUGUAGCUAAAUCUUAAGUAGCUACAUAAAGUUGUUACAUAAUCUAAAUUUAUAGUUAUUUUACUACGGAAUAUGUUACAAAAUGGUUGGUUGUAACUAAUUUGCUACGGAAAUGGCUACGGAAUUGCAUUCCGUAGCUAAAUCUUGAAUAGUUGCUACGGAAUUAAAAUCCGUAGCUAGUUUACUACAAAUAAUGUUACAAAUUUUUUGGUUGUAGCUAGUUCUCUAUGAAACUUGUUACAAAAUCCAUGUAUGUAGCUAGUUGGCUACGAAAUAAAAAUACGUAGCUAGUUAGCUAUGGAAUUGGGAUCCGUAGCUAUUUUGCUAGGAAAAUUUGCUACAAAAUAAAAUUUUGUAGCUAAUCUAUUAUGGAACUUGUUACAAAAAGGUGAAUUUGCAAAAUAGCUACGAAAUCAAAAUCCAUUGGUAUUUGGCUACGGAAAAUUCCGUAGUCAAGUAGUUACGAAAUAUGUUUUCGUAGCAAAUAUUAAAAAUAUACAAUUAUCUUUGAAAACUCAACAACAAAAAUAAAAUAUUAUUUUUAAUUGCUUUGAAAAUUUAAUUAUAAUAUAAUUUCUGCAUUAUAAAUAUUUUGUAAUUUUUAGAUGUUGAUGACAUUCAUUUGCUAAUUUUCGUAUAAUAAUAUUAUCCCCAUAUUUUUUAGGCUUUGAAAAUUAUUACCCCUAAAUCAAAAUUUAUUUACCUCAGUCUUGUACCGGCUUUUUCUAAAAAAAAAAAUUGUUUUAUUUUGGUUUUUUAGUAAAAAAAAAAAAGAGAAAGAAUCCUUUGAUGAACUUGAGCCAUGACGUUUGUUUCAAUGUUUUAUUAAGGGUAAAUUAGUAAAUCCACACAAAUCUACUUCCUACCAACCCCAAAUUAGAGGUGUCCCGUUCAAACCCAUCGUCGUCGGACGACGAUCGCAUCUCUCCCUCUCUCAACUUGCCGCCGUUGUUGCUCAGCUACCCAUCACGUCGUCGUUAAAAUACCAGAGGAAGCUAUUUGGUAAAAAUACGCCAAAUGUGAAACUGUGUAAAAUUUGCCACUUCGCAUAAACUGUAGGGAUUCGAAUAGAAAAUUCUGCAUACUUCACAAAACUUUACUCCUAUUGCGAAAGUGGGUAGUAACUGCCAAAACACUGAAACUGUAAGGACCAUAUGCAAACACUUUUCUUUCUUCGCCAAAUUUGUUACUAGAUGCGAAUGAACAAACCACACAGCAGUAGCAAAGCAAAGCAUCAACAACCCCAAUAGCUGAUCGUAGAUGCGAACUCAAUUUUGACCCGAAGUAUAAGCAUUCAAUGCGAAACCCGAUCGUCCCCAAGGAAUUUAACGUCCCUGCUGUGAACAACCAAAAUCAGUUGAACCUUAUUUGACUCCAAAAAGUCAAAUCCAAAUCGAAUUCAUCAAUUCGUUCAUAUAAGCGAACUGAACACCAUGUUAAUCGAUUUCGCAUUCUCCCUACACAUAUCGAAAUCAACUCCGUUCGUCCCAAUACAAGCAUCUUUUCAAGCAAAUCUAAAGCUCCUGGGGAUUUCGCAUUCACCAGGUAACAUUCUUCUCUCUUCUUUUUGCUCCAUUUUCUCGUUCUAUCAUCCAAUGGAUCAGAGGAUAUUGAUCUCUCCAUUAGAUUAUUCAACAUAAAUAAGUCAUAAGUUUCUUAUUUGCUCAAAUUUAUUUUUUUUGCAAUCGAUUAUCUACUUGCAAUGCAGAUUUGGUUGAACAGUUCUUAACUUUUAUGUAGUAGUGGAGAAAAUCAAUCGAUUGAGUCAAAUUGUUUGCCAAUUUAGUGGUUUCACGCUUGAUUGCUGAGAAAAAAUAUAUGAUUUUUGAUCGGCAUUUACAUGAACCAAUUUCUAAUUAGUGAUGACAUUGCUCUUGAUUAUAGUUCCUCUGCUUGGAAUAUCGUAUGUCUAUUCGGGAUUUGUGAUUAGUUUGUUUGAUUAUAGUCUUCUGAGAUCUUUUACCAUGUUUAUUCGUCAAAUCAAUGUCUCUUGGACUUGUAGCUAUUUUUGUACUACAUUCACCAUUCCUAACUAGAGUCCAUUUAUGUAAUUUGUGAGGAUACCUGUGAUUUUUUACUUCUUAUUUUGGGAUGAUUAUUAGGACUCCAAUUGUAAGGGAGUAUUAGAAUUAGGGAGCAUUUUGUGAAUUCAUUAAUGUUGUGGUAGCACAAGAUGAGCCAACAACUGAUGAUUGGGUCAUGUUAUGACCAAAGUCCCUCUGUAGGAAGUUUCUGAAAGGGCUAAUCUGAUUCUGAUCAUCAUUAGUUUUGAAACAAAGAUCAACAUCCAUGUUUUGAAAACUCUGGUGAGCAGUUGAGACAUCCAACUGAUUACUUCCAUUGCUUUCCAUUUUUGUCAAUGCAAGUAAAUCUAUAUAAGUCGAUAGUUGUUUGUUCCUGUGCUCAUGUGAUCAUCAGACCCUGCUCAAGCAUUGUGAAUUAUACACAAUAAUGGGUAAUAAUUGCAAUACUGAGCUUCAUAAGUUUAUGCAGUAACUAUGCUUUUGUGUGGUACAUCACAUUACAAACACCUCACUUAUAUUUUCUUUUUUACCUUAAACACAUUUUUAACGCACUCAUUAUCUCCAUUCUUCAUGAAUAUGGUACUAUAAUCAACAUUGUUUUGUAUUAUCAUUCUAGAACCAACCGGACAAGAAGCACUAAAUUCUUAAUUAACCUUUUAGUGAUUGAAACAUAUUAAUGUCUCCCAUAUGGAGUUGGUAAAGGGUUAAUCUUAUGAUUCUAAGAGGCAACAAUAAACUGAUUUCUUAAAUAAAGUCUGCAAUAAUAAUACAUGUUCUUGGUCAUUCACUCAUGUGGUAAGAUUUAUGUUCUCCGUAAAUUAAAAGAUGUUUGAGGACAAUUUAGUAAUUUUGCUUUUUUUUUUUUUUUUUUUUUUUUUUAACUUUCUAGAUGAAAUUUGUCAUGUCUAUGUUUUAAAAUCUACUCACAUGGAAAAAGGAAAAAACAUAAUUUUGGAUGCAAAAACAGAUUACCCAGUAGCCUGUAAUGUUAUGGUAUUUAUCUUCCUUAACAUAUCUUGUGCAAAAAACAUAUUUUUGUUGUUUUAUUUAUUUAUUUUAUUUAAUAUGCUUUUUGUUACAAGGAAACUCUUCUUGUUCAUGAAGAGUUGCUGCAAAAUGGUGAUGUUAAUGAACUUCUCAUUGAACUUCAAACUAAAGGCAUGAUUUUUGCUCUUUUAAUGUUCAAAUUGUGGGAAAUAGCCUUGUACUUUAGUCACACUACUAAAUAGGCAACGUACUUUUUCUUUUACCCACAAUAGAAUAGGGAUACACAAAAGAAGUCGAGGUUGAUGAAGAUCGGUCUGAGUGGGACUGAUUACAAUGUUGAGAAAAAGAAGAAAAUCAAGAAAGUUAUUGAGAAGUACUGGAAGUGGGAUCUCACUAACAAUACACAACAUAUAUGGCUUAGAAAUCCUAAAAAAGUUAUAACAUAGGAAUAUCAUGAUAUCUACAAGAAGACGAUUAAUGAGUACCUAGAAUCUAAGACUAUAUGGCAAAUGUGUCUUCAAUUCAUAUGAUUUUGAUGGAAAAUUGGUAAGAUUAAUAGCAAUGUACUUUUGCGGGAUAAAAUAAUUUAUUUUUUUUAUUUUUACUUUUAACCGUUUUCUUUUUCUUUUUAUAUUUUCUUUACCUUCCACGGUACCUAAGUUUUGUGACACAUGUUAUUGACUCCAAUGAUCUUCCCUUUAAUGUAUCACAUGAAAUCCUCCAAGAAAGUGAUUUUACAUUUUGGCUGAGUACUUGUGGCUAUAUGUGUGUUUGUGAUGGUUUAAAUCUGAACUGUGUGACUUUAUUUUUAAUUAAUAUUUAGUUUUGAUGGUUUGGUAACCUUGUAGAAGAAUUUUUAUGAUGUAAUAUAUCUAUAAAAAUCGAUGUAACUAUUAAAUUUAUAUUUUUAUAUAUUUUUUAUGAAAAUUAUAAUUGAAUAUUUUGAUUUAA
Molecule: non-coding RNA, 4925 nt
Organism: Lactuca sativa (garden lettuce)
Lineage: Eukaryota; Viridiplantae; Streptophyta; Magnoliopsida; Asterales; Asteraceae
Source: RefSeq, a predicted model, not a curated record